AAAUUGAAGAGUUUGAUCAUGGCUCAGAUUGAACGCUGGCGGCAGGCCUAACACAUGCAAGUCGAACGGUAACAGGAAGCAGCUUGCUGCUUCGCUGACGAGUGGCGGACGGGUGAGUAAU
Molecule: ribosomal RNA, 121 nt
Filed under: Escherichia coli
Lineage: Bacteria; Pseudomonadati; Pseudomonadota; Gammaproteobacteria; Enterobacterales; Enterobacteriaceae
Also listed under: 14 other names
Description: partial 16S ribosomal RNA
Rfam family: Bacterial small subunit ribosomal RNA
Source: RNAcentral